Molecule: ribosomal RNA, 460 nt
Filed under: uncultured bacterium
Lineage: Bacteria
Description: partial 16S ribosomal RNA
Rfam family: Bacterial small subunit ribosomal RNA
Source: RNAcentral
CCUACGGGUGGCAGCAGUGAGGAAUAUUGGUCAAUGGGCGUAAGCCUGAACCAGCCAAGUCGCGUGAGGGAUGAAGGUUCUAUGGAUCGUAAACCUCUUUUUUAAGGGAAUAAAGUGUGGGACGUGUCCUGUUUUGUACGUACCUUAUGAAUAAGGAUCGGCUAACUCCGUGCCAGCAGCGGCGGUAAUACGGAGGAUCCGAGCGUUAUCCGGAUUUAUGGGGUUUAAAGGGUGCGUAGGCGGCCUUUUAAGUCAGCGGGGAAAGUCUGUGGCUCAACCAUAGUAUUGCCGUUGAAACUGGGAGGCUUGAGUAUGUUUGAGGCAGGCGGAAUGCGUGGGGUAGCGGUGAAAUGCUUAGAUAUCACGCGGAACCCCGAUUGCGAAGGCAGCCUGCCAGGCCAUGACUGACGCUGAGGCACGAAAGCGUGGGGAUCAAACAGGAUUAGAUACCCCGGUAGUC